Molecule: ribosomal RNA, 253 nt
Filed under: uncultured bacterium
Lineage: Bacteria
Description: partial 16S ribosomal RNA
Rfam family: Bacterial small subunit ribosomal RNA
Source: RNAcentral
GACGAGCCACACAAACGUUAUUCGGAAUUACUGGGCUUAAAGGGUGCGUAGGUGGCGCGGCAAGUUGGGUGUGAAAUCCCUCGGCUCAACCGAGGAACUGCGCCCAAAACUGCCGUGCUCGAGGAAGAUAGAGGUAAGCGGAACUUACGGUGGAGCGGUGAAAUGCGUUGAUAUCGUAAGGAACACCUGUGGCGAAAGCGGCUUACUGGGUCUUUUCUGACACUGAUGCACGAAAGCUAGGGGAGCAAACGGG